This 491-nucleotide ribosomal RNA is filed under the name uncultured bacterium. RNAcentral's name for it is "partial 16S ribosomal RNA". It matches the Rfam family "Bacterial small subunit ribosomal RNA", at positions 29 to 506 of the family's 1533-position model. The record is from RNAcentral.
AGUGAACGCUGGCGGUAGGCCUAACACAUGCAAGUCGAACGGCAGCACAGUAAGAGCUUGCUCUUACGGGUGGCGAGUGGCGGACGGGUGAGGAAUACAUCGGAAUCUACUUUUUCGUGGGGGAUAACGUAGGGAAACUUACGCUAAUACCGCAUACGACCUACGGGUGAAAGCAGGGGAUCUUCGGACCUUGCGCGAUUGAAUGAGCCGAUGUCGGAUUAGCUAGUUGGCGGGGUAAAGGCCCACCAAGGCGACGAUCCGUAGCUGGUCUGAGAGGAUGGUCAGCCACACUGGAACUGAGACACGGUCCAGACUCCUACGGGAGGCAGCAGUGGGGAAUAUUGGACAAUGGGCGCAAGCCUGAUCCAGCCAUACCGCGUGGGUGAAGAAGGCCUUCGGGUUGUAAAGCCCUUUUGUUGGGAAAGAAAAGCAGCAGGUUAAUACCCCGCUGUUCUGACGGUACCCAAAGAAUAAGCACCGGCUAACUGCGU